Molecule: ribosomal RNA, 407 nt
Filed under: uncultured bacterium
Lineage: Bacteria
Description: partial 16S ribosomal RNA
Rfam family: Bacterial small subunit ribosomal RNA
Source: RNAcentral
GACGAACGCUGGCGGCGUGCCUAAUACAUGCAAGUAGAACGCAGUUGCGAACGGGUGAGUAACGCGUAGGUAACUGCCUCAUAGCGGGGGAUAACUAUUGGAAACGAUAGCUAAUACCGCAUACUGUGAGAUGGACCUGCGUUGUAUUAGCUAGUUGGUGAGGUAAAGGCUCACCAAGGCGACGAUACAUAGCCGACCUGAGAGGGGUAAUGGCCACACUUGGACUUGUACACCGCCCAAGACCCCACCGGAGGGCGCCGUAGGGAAUCUUUGGCAAUGGGACGGAGGCUGAACCAGGCACGCCGGCGUGGUUAAGAAGGUUUUUGGGUCGGUAAGCUCCGGUGGUAGGGAAGCGGUAACUAACCAGAAAGGGACGGCUAACUCCGUGCCAGCAGCCGCGGUAAUAC